Molecule: ribosomal RNA, 545 nt
Filed under: uncultured archaeon
Lineage: Archaea
Description: bacterial SSU rRNA
Rfam family: Archaeal small subunit ribosomal RNA
Source: RNAcentral
ACGGGGCGCAGCAGGCGCGAAACCUCUGCAAUAGGCGAAAGCCUGACAGGGUUAUUCUGAGUGACUUUCGCUAAGAAAGUCUUUUGACAUCUCUAAAAAUGGUGUAGAAUAAGGGGUGGGCAAGUCUGGUGUCAGCCGCCGCGGUAAUACCAGCACCCCGAGCGGUCGGGACGAUUAUUGGGCCUAAAGCAUCCGUAGUCGGUUUUACAAGUCCUCCGCUAAAUCCAACUGCUUAACAGAUGGGCCGCGGAGGAUACUAUAAGACUAGGAGGCAGGAGAGGCAAGCGGUACUCAGUGGGUAGGGGUAAAAUCCGUUGAUCCAUUGAAGACCACCAGUGGCGAAGGCGGCUUGCCAGAAUGCGCUCGACGGUGAGGGAUGAAAGCUGGGGGAGCAAACCGGAUUAGAUACCCGGGUAGUCCCAGCUGUAAACGAUGCAGACUCGGUGAUGGACUAGCUUAAUGCUAGUCCAGUGCCGCAGGGAAGCUGUUAAGUCUGCCGCCUGGGUAGUACGGUCGCAAGACUGAAACUCAAAGGAAUUGACGGA